GGGAACUGCAUUUCGAACUGGCAAACUAGAGUGUGAUAGAGGGUGGUAGAAUUUCAGGUGUAGCGGUGAAAUGCGUAGAGAUCUGAAGGAAUACCGAUGGCGAAGGCAGCCACCUGGGUCAACACUGACGCUCAUGUACGAAAGCGUGGGGAGCAAACGGGAUUAGAUACCCCGGUAGUCCACGCCGUAAACGAUGUCUACUAGAAGCUCGGAACCUCGGUUCUGUUUUUCAAAGCUAACGCAUUAAGUAGACCGCCUGGGGAGUACGGCCGCAAGGUUAAAACUCAAAUGAAUUGACGGGGGCCCGCACAAGCGGUGGAGCAUGUGGUUUAAUUCGAUGCAACGCGAAGAACCUUACCUACACUUGACAUACAGAGAACUUUC
This 384-nucleotide ribosomal RNA is filed under the name Pseudoalteromonas sp. RNAcentral's name for it is "bacterial SSU rRNA". It matches the Rfam family "Bacterial small subunit ribosomal RNA", at positions 616 to 1000 of the family's 1533-position model. Lineage: Bacteria; Pseudomonadati; Pseudomonadota; Gammaproteobacteria; Alteromonadales; Pseudoalteromonadaceae. The record is from RNAcentral.